UCGGGAAUAUUGCGCAAUGGAGGAAACUCUGACGCAGUGACGCCGCGUGCAGGAAGAAGGUUUUCGGAUUGUAAACUGCUUUAGACAGGGAAGAAAGAAAUGACAGUACCUGUAGAAUAAGCUCCGGCUAACUACGUGCCAGCAGCCGCGGUAAUACGUAGGGAGCGAGCGUUAUCCGGAUUUAUUGGGUGUAAAGGGUGCGUAGACGGAUGAACAAGUUAGUUGUGAAAUCCCUCGGCUUAACUGAGGAACUGCAACUAAAACUAUUGAUCUUGAGUGCUGGAGGGGAAAGCGGAAUUCCUAGUGUAGCGGUGAAAUGCGUAGAUAUUAGGAAGAACACCGGUGGCGAAGGCGGCUUUCUGGACAGUAACUGACGUUGAGGCACGAAAGUGUGGGGAGCAAACAGGAUUAGAUACC
Molecule: ribosomal RNA, 417 nt
Filed under: uncultured bacterium
Lineage: Bacteria
Description: bacterial SSU rRNA
Rfam family: Bacterial small subunit ribosomal RNA
Source: RNAcentral